ACGCUGGCGGCGUGCUUAACACAUGCAAGUCGAACGAAGCGUCUUAGGUGCUUGCACUUGAGACGACUUAGUGGCGGACUGGUGAGUAACACGUAAGCAACCUGCCUAUUAGAGGGGAAUAACAGUGAGAAAUCAUUGCUAAUACCGCAUAUGCUCACAGCAACACAUGUUGCAGUGAGGAAAGGAGCAAUCCGCUAAUAGAUGGGCUUGCGUCUGAUUAGCUAGUUGGUGGGUAACGGCCUACCAAGGCGACGAUCAGUAGCCGGACUGAGAGGUUGAACGGCCACAUUGGGACUGAGAUACGGCCCAGACUCCUACGGGAGGCAGCAGUCGGGAAUAUUGCGCAAUGGAGGAAACUCUGACGCAGUGACGCCGCGUAUAGGAAGAAGGUUUUCGGAUUGUAAACUAUUGUCAUUAGGGAAGAUAAAAGACUGUACCUAAGGAGGAAGCCCCGGCUAACUAUGUG
Molecule: ribosomal RNA, 466 nt
Filed under: uncultured bacterium
Lineage: Bacteria
Description: bacterial SSU rRNA
Rfam family: Bacterial small subunit ribosomal RNA
Source: RNAcentral